Molecule: ribosomal RNA, 250 nt
Filed under: uncultured bacterium
Lineage: Bacteria
Description: partial 16S ribosomal RNA
Rfam family: Bacterial small subunit ribosomal RNA
Source: RNAcentral
UACGUAGGGGGCAAGCGUUGUCCGGAAUUACUGGGCGUAAAGGGCGUGUAGGCGGCCGAUCAAGUCAGGUGUGAAAUUCCAGAGCUCAACUCUGGACGUGCACUUGAAACUGGUUGGCUUGAGUGCAGAAGAGGAAAGUGGAAUUCCCAGUGUAGCGGUGAAAUGCGUAGAUAUUGGGAGGAACACCAGUGGCGAAGGCGACUUUCUGGUCUGUAACUGACGCUGAGGCGCGAAAGCUAGGGGAGCAAAC